CGGGUGAGUAAUGCGUGACCAACCUCGCCCCAUGCUCCAGAAUAGCUCUUGGAAACGGGUGGUAAUGCUGGAUGCUCCAACUUGACGNCAUGUCUUGUUGGGAAAGUGUUUAGUGGCAUGGGAUGGGGUCGCGUCCUAUCAGCUUGUAGGCGGGGUAAUGGCCCACCUAGGCUUCGACGGGUAGCCGGCCUGAGAGGGCGGACGGCCACAUUGGGACUGAGAUACGGCCCAGACUCCUACGGGAGGCAGCAGUA
RNAcentral lists this ribosomal RNA (254 nucleotides) under uncultured Gardnerella sp. RNAcentral describes it as "partial 16S ribosomal RNA". It matches the Rfam family "Bacterial small subunit ribosomal RNA", at positions 103 to 355 of the family's 1533-position model. Lineage: Bacteria; Bacillati; Actinomycetota; Actinomycetes; Bifidobacteriales; Bifidobacteriaceae. The record is from RNAcentral.